This 681-nucleotide ribosomal RNA is filed under the name Salmonella enterica subsp. enterica serovar Weltevreden. Its description in RNAcentral is "partial 23S ribosomal RNA". It matches the Rfam family "Bacterial large subunit ribosomal RNA", at positions 866 to 1547 of the family's 2925-position model. The record is from RNAcentral. Lineage: Bacteria; Pseudomonadati; Pseudomonadota; Gammaproteobacteria; Enterobacterales; Enterobacteriaceae.
CUAUUUAGGUAGCGCCUCGUGAAUUCAUCUCCGGGGGUAGAGCACUGUUUCGGCUAGGGGGCCAUCCCGGCUUACCAACCCGAUGCAAACUGCGAAUACCGGAGAAUGUUAUCACGGGAGACACACGGCGGGUGCUAACGUCCGUCGUGAAGAGGGAAACAACCCAGACCGCCAGCUAAGGUCCCAAAGUCAUGGUUAAGUGGGAAACGAUGUGGGAAGGCCCAGACAGCCAGGAUGUUGGCUUAGAAGCAGCCAUCAUUUAAAGAAAGCGUAAUAGCUCACUGGUCGAGUCGGCCUGCGCGGAAGAUGUAACGGGGCUAAACCAUGCACCGAAGCUGCGGCAGCGACGCUUAUGCGUUGUUGGGUAGGGGAGCGUUCUGUAAGCCUGUGAAGGUGGCCUGUGAGGGUUGCUGGAGGUAUCAGAAGUGCGAAUGCUGACAUAAGUAACGAUAAAGCGGGUGAAAAGCCCGCUCGCCGGAAGACCAAGGGUUCCUGUCCAACGUUAAUCGGGGCAGGGUGAGUCGACCCCUAAGGCGAGGCCGAAAGGCGUAGUCGAUGGGAAACGGGUUAAUAUUCCCGUACUUGGUGUUACUGCGAAGGGGGGACGGAGAAGGCUAUGUUGGCCGGGCGACGGUUGUCCCGGUUUAAGCGUGUAGGUGUGUGUUCCAGGUAAAUCCGGUU